GCGAGGGUUGCCGAGCCCGGAAAAGGCGCGGGACUUAAGAUCCCGCUCCGCAGGGAUCCGCAGGUUCAAAUCCUGCCCCUCGCA
This 84-nucleotide transfer RNA is filed under the name Methylacidiphilaceae bacterium. Its description in RNAcentral is "Candidatus Methylacidiphilaceae bacterium tRNA-Leu". It matches the Rfam family "tRNA". Rfam says of the family: Transfer RNA (tRNA) molecules are approximately 80 nucleotides in length. Their secondary structure includes four short double-helical elements and three loops (D, anti-codon, and T loops). Lineage: Bacteria; Pseudomonadati; Verrucomicrobiota; Methylacidiphilae; Methylacidiphilales; Methylacidiphilaceae. The record is from RNAcentral.